This 888-nucleotide ribosomal RNA is filed under the name uncultured marine group I thaumarchaeote. Its description in RNAcentral is "SSU rRNA". It matches the Rfam family "Archaeal small subunit ribosomal RNA", at positions 12 to 905 of the family's 1478-position model. Lineage: Archaea; Thermoproteati; Nitrososphaerota. The record is from RNAcentral.
UCCUGCCGGACCUGACUGCUAUCGGAUUGAUACUAAGCCAUGCGAGUCUUUGUAGUAAUACAAGGCAGACGGCUCAGUAACACGUAGUCAACCUACCCUAUGGACAAGAAUAAUCUCGGGAAACUGGGCAUAAUUCUUGAUAGAUCAUAAUGCCUGGAAUGGUUUAUGGUUAAAAUGAUUCGUCGCCAUAGGAUGGGACUGCGGCCUAUCAGCUUGUUGGUGAGGUAAUGGCCCACCAAGGCGAUUACAGGUACGGGCUCUGAGAGGAGAAGCCCGGAGAUGGGUACUGAGACACGGACCCAGGCCCUAUGGGGCGCAGCAGGCGAGAAAACUUUGCAAUGUGCGAAAGCACGACAAGGUUAAUCCGAGUGAUUUCUGCUAAAGAAAUCUUUUGCCAGUCAUAAAACCACUGGUGAAUAAGGGGUGGGCAGGUUCUGGUGUCAGCCGCCGCGGUAAAACCAGCACCUCAAGUGGUCAGGAUGAUUAUUGGGCCUAAAGCAUCCGUAGCCGGCUUUGUUAGUUUUCGGUUAAAUCCAUGUGCUCAACGCAUGGGCUGCCGAAAAUACUGCAUAGCUAGGGAGUGGGAGAGGUAGACGGUACUCAGUAGGAAGGGGUAAAAUCCUUUGAUCUAUUGAUGACCACCUGUGGCGAAGGCGGUCUACCAGAACACGUUCGACGGUGAGGGAUGAAAGCUGGGGGAGCAAACCGGAUUAGAUACCCGGGUAGUCCCAGCUGUAAACGAUGCAGACUCGAUGAUGCAUUGGCAUAAUAGCCAGUGCAGUGUCGCAGGGAAGCCGUUAAGUCUGCCGCCUGGGAAGUACGUACGCAAGUAUGAAACUUAAAGGAAUUGGCGGGGGAGCACCACAAGGGGUGAAGCCUGCGGUUCAA